RNAcentral lists this long non-coding RNA (327 nucleotides) under Elaeis guineensis (African oil palm). RNAcentral describes it as "long non-coding RNA (EGUI_LNC067103)". The record is from RNAcentral. Lineage: Eukaryota; Viridiplantae; Streptophyta; Magnoliopsida; Arecales; Arecaceae.
GUUGGAUUUUAUGCAGCUCUCGCAAGCGAUUUAAGUGCAGGCAUGAGAUGAGCGACGAGACAGCAGAGGAAUUUUUAAAAUAAAAUAAAUAUAUAUUUUUUUAAUUUUAUAUUUAAAAAUAUAUAUUUUUUAUCUAUACUUAUAAAAAAAAGUCUCAAUAUCUCUAUUUUAAAAUAUCUCUCUCCAUACUAUACCGGGUCCAUAUGACAGAUAGAAAUAUCUAUCUUUUUAAUUCUUUAGUCUUGUUUUCACUUUCUUUCACCUUUUCAAUAUACGAAAAAAAGAGUUAGCUAGGAAAAGAUGCAAGAAUCAGAAGACUAUGCAGAG